AGCAAUCGGCAGUGAGUUUUGUUUAUAUUAAUUUAAUAUUGUUAAAAGACUAUUUUGCCUGAGCUUAUGAACUGAGUGUUAUUGGAUUGUGUCAGAUAUUAUACACUAAUUGGAUUUGUGCUGGCCAAUUGUCAUCGCACUAAGCACAAAGAUCAUCAUGGCACCACCAUUACCAGGAAUUGAUCAACUACAGCAGCCUCCUCCUCCGCCACUGCCAACAGGGCAGCCACCCUCGGGGGGCAUUUCCUGGAUCUCUACACAUUGCCAGAAUGCUUAAGUUUUCAAGGCGCUGGAGAUUUAAUUUUGUGACACCUAAUAUGUACUAUACUACAAUUAUUAUGUUCAUAAUUCAGUGACGUUUUUCUGCUUUCUCCAGGACUAGGACUAUCGGUCUGCAUUCAAGAACUUUCAAUAUCGGUCCAAAAAUAUUGCUCGAAUUUUCGAAAAUGGCCAAAAAGUGGCCAGUGAUUAGAGUCCUUUGUCCAGAUGCGUCGAUUGACAUCGCCAUGUCCUGGAAUGUCCUUCUUAAAGCAGAGAAAGUGGACCUUUUUAGAAAGUUACAUGUCCUGCAUCCUUAGAUGACCCCAACUUUUUAUAAUGCCAUUCGAUUAGUAGAUUCUAAAGGUAAAAACCAAAACAGGGAUAAUUUUCUCCAUGUCAUAUCGCUGCAGGAUCCUCCAGGAUUAGAACUAUCGAUCUGCAUUCAAGGGUUUUUUUUGCUUUAAAAAAAAAAUGGCAAUAAUUCGCGCGUUCUUUGAAGGAUUAGGACAAAGGGACAUAUCAUAAAACUACAAUCAUCACAGCUAGUCCUGUGGUGCAAAGGACAUUUCGAUAGUUCUACGGAGAGCUGAGAUAUCAAAGAUUUUAUGGUUUUUGGCUUUUUUGCGAAGUUUUUUCCCAUUUUGGAGCAAUAUUCAAAAAAAAAAAAAUGGAAACACAGAUCGAAAGUCCUAACAGUUAUAAUGAAAACUAAAACUAAGUGUUGCAUACGUUUUUGGGUAAAAAGAUAUAGCUAAUAUUAUAAAAUAGAUCUUUAGAAGGAAUAUGGCGAAUAUGGUAUCAAACCAAUCAUCUUUUUCAAGGACUAUUAUUUGUCAAAGGUUCAUCUCAAUAGUCUUGCCAGGAGCUGAGAUAUUAAGGACUUUAUAGCUUGUAGAAUGUUUUUCGUAUAUUUGGAACCCUUAAGAAUAUGUGAUGCAUGCUUUGCGGCGGCCGGGAGUCCCUGCCUAUGCGAGUCGACUGGUAUUUUAGCUAUGCUCUUGAUGACAUGUAGCGUUUGGCAUAGAAAAAGUUUUGGCAUCUCGAAAACAUCCUUAAUCUGAGCUUUUUCAUGGACUUCCAUUUGGCUAAAGAACAUCCCUAAAUCGACCAAGCUAAUCAUUUUUUGCACACUUUCAGAGAUAAAAAAGGAUUUAUAAAUAUCUUGCGAGUCCUAAAAAGGAUAAGCACGAAUAUUGUGUUAAACAUAUCCUUUCAUCAAGGAGUUUAAUCUGAGAUAUUAAGAGCUUUUUGGUUUUCUGGCAUACUUUUAAACGUUUAAGCUUAUUUCAAAAAGCCCACUAUGCAUUUACGUUUAGCAGGAUAGUAGUUGAUAUUUAUAAAUUCUUAUUUUUUUCUAGUUUUGACACCACAGCCAAGUUAAGGUCCUGUGGCCCUGGGGCAAACUGAAAUUUGCUCAACUAGGUUCAUGUCUCUAUUUGUGGUAUUCAGUCUGUAUACUUACCAAUUUAAAGCUUUUGCUGAAAGUAAUUUUACUCGAUAAACUUUGGCAUUAAGCUUUUAUAGCUCUUUUAAAUUCUGAUCGAUUUCAAAUAGAAAUAUAGGCUUGGCAUAGCAAACAAUAAGUAAAUUAAAUGAAAAGAUAAUUUUGUUAGGUAAAUAGCUUUUUUUGUCCAUAGCUUAAAUAGAUUUGCCAGUUUCUUGGCUAAAAUUUGCCAACUUUUAUGAAUUCCUUUUUGAAUUUUCAUCAUCGCAAAAGCUUGUUUUGUAGCUUUAUGAAAUUUUUGUUAACCACCUACAUUUUGCCAGGAUAGAGAGAGAGAACGAUAGUGCCACUCUUCUAAUUCAAAAAACAAGUGAUUUCUUACGAUAUUAUUUAUUAACUACCUACAGCGAUUAGGAUUAGAUCGAGCGAUUAAGCUUUAAUUCAAAGCCUUAAAUAAAAGAGACAGGUUUCCAAAUAAAUAUUGUAUGUUUAUUGAAACUCAAUUUGAUAUAUAAUAUACAUAUUAUUUUUGUGUA
Drosophila willistoni is the source of this 2241-nucleotide long non-coding RNA. RefSeq lists it as uncharacterized. The record is from RefSeq and is a predicted model, not a curated record. NCBI's taxonomy places the organism in Eukaryota, Metazoa, Arthropoda, Insecta, Diptera, Drosophilidae. The transcript has 3 exons.